UACGGAGGGUGCAAGCGUUAUCCGGAAUCACUGGGUUUAAAGGGUGCGUAGGCGGUUGAAUAAGUCAGAGGUGAAAGAUUAUCGCUUAACGAUAAAAUGUCCUUUGAUACUGUUCGACUAGAAUGAGGUUAAGGUAGGCGGAAUGUGACAUGUAGCGGUGAAAUGCAUAGAUAUGUCAUAGAACACCAAUUGCGAAGGCA
RNAcentral lists this ribosomal RNA (200 nucleotides) under uncultured bacterium. RNAcentral's name for it is "partial 16S ribosomal RNA". It matches the Rfam family "Bacterial small subunit ribosomal RNA", at positions 524 to 723 of the family's 1533-position model. The record is from RNAcentral.